CCCUUAGAUGUUCUGGGCUGCACGCGCGCUACACUGAAGCUAUCAACACGUUUUCCCUCCCUGAGAAGGGCGGGUAACCUUUUGAAUCAGCUUCGUGGUAGGGAUCGGGGCUUGCAAUUGUUCCCCGUGAACCAGGAAUUCCUAGUAGACGCGAGUCAUAAGCUCGCAUCGAUUAAGUCCCUGCCCUUUGUACACACCGCCCGUCGCACCUACCGAUUGAAUGGUCCGGUGAAGCCUCCGGAUUGGCGCGCACCUCGGUGCCGCCGAGAAGUUGGCUAAACCUUACCAUUUAGAGGAAGGUGAAGUCGUAACA
This 313-nucleotide ribosomal RNA is filed under the name uncultured eukaryote. RNAcentral describes it as "partial 18S ribosomal RNA". It matches the Rfam family "Eukaryotic small subunit ribosomal RNA", at positions 1470 to 1796 of the family's 1831-position model. The record is from RNAcentral.